UUUAGAUAUCACAUUUAAUUUAUGUGUAUUUUAUUUAUCUGCUUCCUGAUUUACUCAAGCUGAGAACCUUUCUAAAGGCCUUAUAAGCUGUUCCUUGAAAAAGAGAUAAAACUGUGCUGGCUUCUCUGCCAACACAAGUUGUAAGAAGCAUUGUGCUGAGACAGUGCUUAUCAGUUGCAAACUGGCCACUGUUGUAUAAAUGAUAUUUCCAGUUAUAUGAAAGCAAGUAUAUAAUUAUGAUAAUAAUUGCUGUUUUAGUAUUUCUCUGAUAUAGUUUUUUAUUAAAUAAAUGACAUUUUAUAAAUAUUUAACUCUGCUAUCUCUCUCUCUCUCUCUCUCUCUCUCUCUCUUUUUUUUUUUUUUUUUUUUCCCAGUUUUAAUUUAAAGGAAGAAGCUGACCAUUACUACAGAUUUUCUUCUGGUUCUUUAUCUGUUUUAUAAUGUCAGUGAAUUGGAGUUCCAGUUAUUCAUUAAUAUUUAAGAGAUGCAGACCUGGUUACCUUCUCUGGACCUUUAACUACUCCGUAAAGCAGACGAGCGUACGUGAAAGAGCACUUCAACUACAGCAUUCUUUCACACCAGCUGAAUUACAAAACUGAACUUGAUAGAUAGAAUUACUUUUCACAAUUCUGUCCCCUGCAUGUGGCUUUUGAACAGGAUUCAAUAUGAUUUGGAGAUCUAGAUUAAUCAGUGGAACACAGAAGGUUCAGCUGGGGAUCUUUGUUAAAUCUUAAUGGCAGCACUUAGCCGUUACAAAAAUUAUAAAAUCACUUUAAGUAAGUGUAUUGGGUUUACAUGCUUUUCCUACUAGAUGGUGAUACAGGGCCCAACUGUGUAAAAUCUCUACUUCAUAUCAACUGUAAAACUGUACUAAGUAAUAAAUAAAGUCUGUACACUAAGUAAAUGAGUAAG
This 912-nucleotide long non-coding RNA is filed under the name Anas platyrhynchos platyrhynchos (common mallard). RNAcentral's name for it is "lncRNA (ENSAPLG00000021843.1)". The record is from RNAcentral. Lineage: Eukaryota; Metazoa; Chordata; Aves; Anseriformes; Anatidae.